Molecule: unclassified non-coding RNA, 332 nt
Filed under: Hevea brasiliensis (rubber tree)
Lineage: Eukaryota; Viridiplantae; Streptophyta; Magnoliopsida; Malpighiales; Euphorbiaceae
Source: RNAcentral
CAGAGAAUUAAGGAGCAUUGGAGGUAACUUAUUUCUAGUAGCAAAAAAAAAUAUGUAUGUUUUUGCAUAUUGUAUGUAUGUAGACACUUAAUUGAAGAAACUAUUUAGAGCCUAGAAUGUGCAUCAGUCUAUUACUCUAUUUGUAAUCUGAUUGAUUAUGUAGGAGGCUUUGAUUUAAAGGUGCAUCCACAAAAAUCCCAUUUGGGUGAUGUUGUGGUGUUGGCACAUAUGGAAUGGAGAAUUAGUUAAGGGGAGAUUAGUUAAGUGAGCUGUUGGUUAGUUGAAUUGUUGCAACAGAGAAUGAGUGACACAUAAGAUGUAUAAAUACAUUG